GGAUCACAUGUUUUUAACUGAGCCGUAGACUUUAAGUGCUCAGUUUAAUGAUCGAAAGCACAAAGUGAACUACGAGCCAGGUGGUCCUGCAGGCAGGUGUGUUACAGGUGGGGCUCAGGCCAACACUUCUGUUAUUCUAUGGUGCAAGCCCUGUGGUUGGUCUGCUCAACGGCAUUGUAUUUCCUGCAUUUACAACACUUCUGAAAUCGGCCAUACAUCGGCCAUACAUCUGUCAACGCAGCAGUAUAAACCAGGCUUUAUGCAUGGCUGAAUUCUACAGUAUGCCGUGUGGGUAAUGAACACUGGACAAUCUGUACUAUAUUCUCCAGGAACGAUUGUUAUGUUGUUAUGUUAAGUACUGUUUAUUUUAAGAUAAAUAUAAAACAACUUACUCUUUA
Notolabrus celidotus (New Zealand spotty) is the source of this 398-nucleotide long non-coding RNA. RefSeq lists it as uncharacterized. The transcript is spliced from 2 exons. Lineage: Eukaryota; Metazoa; Chordata; Actinopteri; Labriformes; Labridae. The record is from RefSeq and is a predicted model, not a curated record.